This 260-nucleotide ribosomal RNA is filed under the name uncultured bacterium. RNAcentral describes it as "partial 16S ribosomal RNA". It matches the Rfam family "Bacterial small subunit ribosomal RNA", at positions 524 to 777 of the family's 1533-position model. The record is from RNAcentral.
UACGUAGGGUGCGAGCGUUGUCCGGAAUUAUUGGGCGUAAAGGGCUCGUAGGCGGUUUGUCACGUCGGGAGUGAAAACUCAGGGCUCAACCCUGAGCCUGCUUCCGAUACGGGCAGACUAGAGGUAUGCAGGGGGAGAACGGAAUUCCUGGUGUAGCGGUGAAAUGCGCAGAAUAUCAGGAGGAACACCGGUGGCGAAGGCGGGACUCUGGGGCCGAAUGACUGACGCUGGAGGAGCGAAAGCGUGGGGAGCAAACAGGA